UACGGAGGAUCCGAGCGUUAUCCGGAUUUAUUGGGUUUAGAGGGUGCGCAGGCGGGGGAUUAAGUCGGCGGUGAAAUUUUGCAGCUCAACUGUAAAAGUGCCUUCGAAACUGGUUUCCUUGAGUGUAGAUGAAGUAGGCGGAAUUUGUGGUGUAGCGGUGAAAUGCAUAGAUAUCACGAGGAACUCCGAUUGCGCAGGCAGCUUACUAAACUACUACUGACGCUCAGGCACGAAGGCGUGGGGAUCAAACAGGAUUAGAUACCCCCGUAGU
This 271-nucleotide ribosomal RNA is filed under the name uncultured prokaryote. Its description in RNAcentral is "partial 16S ribosomal RNA". It matches the Rfam family "Bacterial small subunit ribosomal RNA", at positions 524 to 794 of the family's 1533-position model. The record is from RNAcentral.